RNAcentral lists this ribosomal RNA (468 nucleotides) under uncultured bacterium. RNAcentral's name for it is "partial 16S ribosomal RNA". It matches the Rfam family "Bacterial small subunit ribosomal RNA", at positions 28 to 507 of the family's 1533-position model. The record is from RNAcentral.
GACGAACGCUGGCGGCGUGCUUAACACAUGCAAGUCGAACGGAAAGGCCCUGCUUUUGUGGGGUGCUCGAGUGGCGAACGGGUGAGUAACACGUGAGUAACCUGCCCUUGACUUUGGGAUAACUUCAGGAAACUGGGGCUAAUACCGGAUAGGAGCUCCUGCUGCAUGGUGGGGGUUGGAAAGUUUCGGCGGGUGGGGAUGGACUCGCGGCUUAUCAGCUUGUUGGUGGGGUAGUGGCUUACCAAGGCUUCGACGGGUAGCCGGCCUGAGAGGGUGACCGGCCACAUUGGGACUGAGAUACGGCCCAGACUCCUACGGGAGGCAGCAGUGGGGAAUAUUGCACAAUGGGCGGAAGCCUGAUGCAGCGACGCCGCGUGCGGGAUGACGGCCUUCGGGUUGUAAACCGCUUUCGCCUGUGACGAAGCGUGAGUGACGGUAAUGGGUAAAGAAGCACCGGCUAACUACGUG